Molecule: long non-coding RNA, 5348 nt
Filed under: Anolis carolinensis (green anole)
Lineage: Eukaryota; Metazoa; Chordata; Lepidosauria; Squamata; Anolidae
Description: lncRNA (ENSACAG00000039968.1)
Source: RNAcentral
GUCCCAAUGGCCCCAAUGUGGUCCUAAUUCCAGACGAGAGGGAGAGAGGUAUGCCUUGACAUCUUCCUCAUCUCAUGUCUUCCAUCUCCCUCCCUCCACCAGCCGUAGAUCUUUAAUACCUUUCCCUCCUGCCUCCCAUCCCCGCACGGAGAAGGGAUUAAAUAAAAAGUGCAUUAGUGCAUUCUUCUCAUGGCUAAGACCUUGUUCUCCGAUGGUUUGUUUUCUUGCAGCCGGUUCGAUAUAAACAGCAAAACCCUGUUCCAGUCCAUUUACCUCCUGCCACGGGAUGCCAGGAAGGAGCGAUCUUCACAGCGGAGGCAUCACAAAGAAGUGCGGGUUCAGGGCUGUUUGUGAGGAAAUUAUAGCCUGGGGUGCAAUUCAAAAGACAUUCCUCUACUUCUGGAAUGAAUCGGGGCCCAUCUUCCCCAUUGUGAUGCCUUAUCUUUAUUUGCAUUUCAAUCGAUUCCUCUCCUCGUUUUCUGCAUCGGGACGAACUGGCUGAACCCUCUCCUUUCCUUCGCAAUGACGUCUACCUCGCCAACUAUCAGUUGCAGAGCAUAUGCUUUGGAAAGGCGUUACGUUUUGGAAUCCUUGCAGGAGGUUUUAAAUUUGCUCAGUAAGUCAUAUUUUGUAUCUAUAUAUGUUUAUUUGGCUCAACGGACAUUUAAACAGAUAUUUUACACGCCUCUUGGAGCCAGGUAGAUGUGCCACAGAGUUGAUAUUGUUAUUAUUGUUAUUAUUUUUAGUGUCUAUGUCUUGCCCUGAAGAAGGCCGUUAAAUAUUACUAGGCCAAAAAAUGCAGUAAUUGUAAGCCCUGGGACUCUUGAGUGCAUCUGCUCUGUAGAAUUAAUUCAGUUUGGCAUUAUUUUAAUGGCCAUGGCUCAAUACAAUGGAAUCCCAGUGUAGUGGUUAGCUGGGACCACGGAUGAGAAGAGCCGUGCCUGGUGGGUGUAUGCUAAACCAAAAGGGAGAAUAGAAUGAAAUUCCAGUGUAGUGGUUAGCUAGUACCGCGGAUGAGAGAGAGUAGAACAGGACCCAAUGGAUUAAAAUUGCAAGAAAAGAGAUGCCACCUAAAGUUCUGGAGAACAUCCCAUUCAGAACGGAAGCUUCAGAAAGUGGUGGACUCUCCUUUGUUUUGUGAUCAGACUCAUCCUGGGUUCUUUAGAUACUGUACACAAUUUCUGGUCCUUUCUAACCCCAUGGAUCUCUUACUCUGUGAGAUACGUUGAUCACUAGCCUGAUAGAUUUCCAUAGCCCUCCUUCCGACCUCACAAGGUUAGGAAGCCAACUCCUCUGAGAGUGGUGUAUGUUAGAUUGUAGAAGACAUGAUAGAGCCAUUUUGAAAAUAUAUAUGAAGUUGGAGAAAGAGUAGAACAGGACUCAAUUGAUGGAAAUGGCAAGAAAAGAGAUGCCACCUAAAGUUCUGGAGAACAUCCCAUUCAGAACGGAAAGCUUCUGAAAGUGGUGGAUUCUGCUUUGGUUUGUGGUCAGACUUAUCCUGGGUUCUUUAGAUACUGUACUAUUUCUGGUCCUUUCCAACCCUAUGGAUCUCUUAUUCUGUGAGAUACGUUGAUCACUAGCCUGAUAGAUUUCCAUAACCCUCCUUCCGACCUCACAAGGUUAGGAAGCCAACUCCCCUGAGAGUGGUGUAUGUUUUGACUGUCAAAGACAUGGUAGAGCCAUUUUGAAAAUAUAUUUGAAGUUGGAGAGAGAGUAGAACAGGAGUUGAUGGAUUGAAAUGGCAAGAAAAGAGAUGCCACCUAAAGUUCUGGAGAACAUCCCAUUCAGAACAGAAAGCUUCUGAAAGUGGUGGACUCUCCUUUGUUUUGUGGUUAGACUUAUCCUGCAGUCUUUAGAUACAGGGUCCUUUCUAACCCUGUGAAUCUCUUACUCGGUGAGAUACGUUGAUCACUAGCCUAAUAGAUUUCCAUAGCCCUCCUUCUGACCUCACAAGGUCAGGAAGCCAACUCCUCUGAGAGUGGUGUAUGUUUUGACUGUCGAAGACAUGGUAGAGCCAUUUUGAAAUAUAUAUGAAGUUGGAGAGAGAGUAGAACAGGACUCAACUGAUGGAAAUGGCAAGAAAAGAGGUGCCACCUAAAGUUCUGGAGAACGUCCCAUUCAGAACGGAAGCUUCUGAAAGUGGUGGACUUCCCUUUGUUUGCUGUCUUUGAAGAGAAGUCGGACUUAUCCUGCAUUCUUUAGAUACUGUACUAUUUCUGGUCCUUUCCAACCCUAUGGAUCUCUUACUCUGUGAGAUACGUUGAUCACUAGGAUGAUAGAUUUCCAUAGCCCUCCUUCCGACCUCACAUUCUGGAGACAUUUAAUAAAGUUAAACCCAAAGAUCUGGGUGACCAAUAAAGAAAUUAUGGCUCUUCCUUAUCCCCUUUAGUUCAGCUUAACUCCAUCGCACUAAAUUUGCAAUAACGGCCCCAGGGGAGAGUUACACGAUGAAGUUACAUUUGCUGGAGCCUUUUGCCCGGUCCGUGAGCGAUGGCUCGAGAGAGAGAGUUCAUCCACUUCUCGCCGGAUCAAUAAACGGCUGUCAGCCUCGGCAGAAGGAUGAAAUAUUUAUUUCACCGUAUUGUGUUUUGACUGGGACAACAUGCAAAAGGCUCCAGAGAGGCUCCUGAAAUAUUCAUUGACUUGGGCAAACACGAGUGGAACAUCAAGCUGGUCAUCUCAGCUACAUUGCGUGGCUUUGGUUGUCCCGGAAAACUUCCCAGAAUCCCUCAUUAUUUGUACAAAGCUGCCCAUCGUAUAAACCCGAAACUGGAAUAAGUCCGCAAAGUUAGACCCAUUGCAUCGAUUAUGGGAAGAUGACUCAAUGUGUACAUAAAAGCCAUUAUUCGUCUGAGUUUGGAUGCUCAUAAUUGGAUUCAAACCUAUCUAUCUAUUUUCUCGGGCUUUGAAACCGCCCAGGGGCCCAUAAAUGCAACAAAUUACUUUUAAAUGUCACUUUCCAAGCUUUUGGAAAGGUUAGGAUUUCUCGAUGUCAGAGGCUGGAGCUCGGUGGUAUCUAAUUCGUCCCCCUCUUUUACUCUCUCUUUUUUCUUGUGUGUGUAUUAUUUCGAAACUUUAAUAGAAGACGUUUGGGUCAAUGCUCGAGGGAGGUGAGUGCCUCCGGAAGUAGGAAAGCCUGGCUUUGAAGACAGGAAAAUUGGAAAUAAUGGAGGAGGAAAGUGUGGGUGCUGCUCAAUGGGUUGCUGAUAUUCGUUGCUUUCACAACCGAGCCAUGAGCCACAUUCUACGUUGGAGCUCUCCAUUUAUCGUUCUAGAAUAAUAAUAACAUUUUAUUUAUAUUUAUUUAUUUAUUUGCUACAUUUAUAUGCCGUCCUUCUCACCCCGAAGGGGACUCAGAGCGGCUAACAAAUUAAAUUUACAUACAAUAUUAUAUUAGUACUAGCUAUGCCCGGCCACGCGUUGCUGUGGCAAAGUGGUGGUGGUAUUGGUUAAAAGUUGUUGUGGAAUUUUUAUUUGACGUUGUUUGUAUUUUUUAAUUAAUUUUAUUGUAACUUAUCUUUUUUAUUUAUUAUAUUUUAUUAUCUUGUUGUAUUAUUUUUAGUUAUUUUAUUAUUAUAGUAUUUUAUUGUUUUAAUUGUUAGUGUUUUUAAUUAUUUUAGUGUUUUUUAUUUUUUUAUUGUAUUUGUAUUUAUUUUAUUUUUUUAUUCUUUUAUUAACACUGGGCUGAGUGGGUUGCUAGGAGACCAAGUGGGCGGAGCUUAGCCUUCUAAGUGGCAGCAAUUGGAUAAAAACAAUUAUUUCUCUCCCUCUAAUAAGGACUUUAUUUUUCUUUUCCUUUUGUUGUCGGAACCUAGGGGCAAGGAUGAUGGGUUGUGUUGCCAAAUUUCUAGGUUCUGGGGCUUGUACUUUUGUUGUUUAGGGGAGGAACGGAAACCAUUACUCCUUUAUAUAUAUAGAUAGUACAAUACUGGUAAUAAAUUACUAUAUUGUACUGUAUUGAUAUAUUGUAAUAUUAUUAGUAAUAUUACAUGUAAAAUAUAAUAUAUAAUUAAUAUUAUUAUUAUUAUAUUGUAUUAUUAGUAUUAUAUCGUAUUACAAUAUAUUAUGAAUAUUAUAUGUAUAUACAAUAUGUUAUAAUUAUUAUAUAUUAUUGUAAAUUAUAUUAUAUUAAAUUAUAUUCCGCCAUAUCUCCCCAAGGGGACUCAGGGUGGAUCGCAGUACACAUACACGGCAAACAUUCAAUGCCGUUUUGACAGACAGGACAGGACAGAACAGCAUUCAAUGACAUUAUCAGACAUAUUACAUAUAUACAAACAGACAGGAGAGGCUAUUAACAUACUCCAGCUUAUGGCUUCAUGAGAUUAUGAGAUUUUGGCCACAACGGGAGCUGUCACUUCAUCAUCCAUCAUCCGAGUCCUUUUUGAUGGUAGUACUUCCUCAUGCUCUUCGCACGCCGCUGGCAGCUUUAUGGUGUCGUAAAUUAAGUUAAAUUAUAUUGUAUUUUGAUUUUGCUGUAAGCCGCCCCGAGUCCCCUUCGGGGGAGAUGGAGGCGGCAUAUAAAUAAACUUAUUAUUAUUAUUAUUAUUAUUAUUAUUAUUAUUAUUAUUAUUAUUAAAUUAGCCUCCCCGCAUUAAGCGCUACCUAGAAUUCUCUACUUACAGACACAGCUGUUUUCAAGAUGCUCAGGUGGACAGCAAGCUAGGCUAUUAAAUGUUUGGGAGCUCAACUCCGACCCGGGCUUCGAACCAACAACCUUUUGGUCAGUGGUGAUUUAUUGCUGCAGGUUACGAUUCACCUUUGUGGUGAAUGCCACAACUGAAUGCACAUCAAGAUAUGCAACUGAAUGCACAUGCGCAUAGCACACCGGCCUCUGUUUGAGUCUUUCCAGCUCCGUCCGCAUCUGUUUCCGCAACGGCGCCAUUGUCCAACUCCGCUUCUCUUGCAUUCUCUUGGAUCGUCAAUAUAGCCCGAGCACUUCCUUCACAGAAAUCGACAUUUGUUCUCCAUUUUCAGUAAGGAAACGGACCACAACCCUGCAUGGCUCAAUAUCACACAGUCGUGUGAAUGCGCCAUUUUGGACGGAGGAAGAAAUACCAAACAUCCGUUGCGUAUUUCUGAAUUCUCCAAACACGAACACAGCUUGAAGAUUGAGUGGAAUGAGUCCCGAUAUCAGGGCUGAGGGCGAAACAAACAUUAGGAGGAUACUCCAAAGACCAGCGUUGGUUAAUAAGCAAAGCCAAAUUCAAUUGCCGGGAUCCAGAAGUCAAUUCAAAAGCCAAGAUCCAGAAGUCAAAGCCAAGGAAUGUCUAAAUUCUCAGAACAUUGCUUGAAGACUGAGUGAAAGAUCUCUGUAUGUGGAGAAUAGAGAGAGAUGUAUCUGAUGGACU